AGAGUUUGAUUCUGGCUCAGCCCUUAAAAUGGCGGCGUGCCUAACACAUGCAAGUCGAACGGCCUUAUAACGAAACCUAGUGAAUUAUAAGUUAGUGGCGGACGGGUGAGUAACGCGUGGAAAACCUGCCGUAUACUGCCGGAUAACACUUAGAAAUAGGUGCUAAUACCGCAUAAGCGCACAGCUUCGCAUGAAGCAGUGUGAAAAACUCCGGUGGUAUACGAUGGUUCCGCGUCUGAUUAGCUAGUUGGUGAGGUAAAAGCCCACCAAGGCAACGAUCAGUAGCCGGCCUGAGAGGGUGAACGGCCACAUUGGGACUGAGACACGGCCCAGACUCCUACGGGAGGCAGCAGUGGGGGAUAUUGCACAAUGGGGGAAACCCUGAUGCAGCGACGCCGCGUGAGUGAAGAAGUAUUUCGGUACGUAAAGCUCUAUCAGCAGGGAAGAAUAAUGACGGUACCUGACUAAUAAGCCCCGGCUAACUACGUGCCAGCAGCCGCGGUAAUACGUAGGGGGCAAGCGUUAUCCGGAUUUACUGGGUGUAAAGGGAGCGUAUACGGCUGUGCAAGUCUGAAGUGAAAUGCCGGGGCUCAACCCCGGAACUGCUUUGGAAACUGUACAGCUAGAGUGCACGAGGGGUGAGCGGAAUUCCUAGUGUUACGGUGAAAUGCGUAGAUUUUAGGAGGAACACCGGUGGGGAAGGCGGCUCACUGGAUUGUUACUGACGUUGAAGCUCGAAACCGUGGUGAGCAAACCGGAUUAUAUUCCCUGGUAACCCUCGCCGAAACCGAUGAC
RNAcentral lists this ribosomal RNA (795 nucleotides) under uncultured bacterium. RNAcentral describes it as "bacterial SSU rRNA". It matches the Rfam family "Bacterial small subunit ribosomal RNA", at positions 8 to 813 of the family's 1533-position model. The record is from RNAcentral.